UACGGGGGGAGCAAGCGUUGUUCGGAUUUACUUGGCGUAAAGGGCGCGUAGGCGGCCAGCGCAAGUCAGUUGUGAAAUCUCCGAGCUUAACUCGGAAAGGUCAACUGAUACUGCGCGGCUAGAGUGCGGAAGGGGCAACUGGAAUUCUUGGUGUAGCGGUGAAAUGCGUAGAUAUCAAGAGGAACACCUGCGGCGAAGGCGGGUUGCUGGGCCGACACUGACGCUGAGGCGCGAAAGCCAGGGGAGCGAACAGG
Molecule: ribosomal RNA, 254 nt
Filed under: uncultured bacterium
Lineage: Bacteria
Description: partial 16S ribosomal RNA
Rfam family: Bacterial small subunit ribosomal RNA
Source: RNAcentral